CAUGCCUGGAAAGUUUUGAAAUUCGACAUUGCCCUACUCUGUUACUGCUCUUCGGCCUGAAGUUACAGCAUUGUAUGGAACAAGGGCUUUUCCAGUGUGUCUUCCCGAGUGUCUCUAUUAUUGUUCUGCCUGAAGUUGCAACAUUGUAUGAACACUGGCUUUUCCAAUGUGACUCUAUUUUGAGAGCAAGUACCAAGGAAGGAGAAAGAUUGAUGCAUUGUUUGGUUUGUGAAGUUAGCAGCCAUCACCUGACCAUCGUAGACAAAACUAUGGAAGGAUUUCUCCUCAAACAUCUCAAUACCUUCUUUAAGAAAGAGUAACAUACAAGCUUCACAGAAAGCAGACAAUGAAGCUACAGCACAUGUAUGGAGGUCAGAGGACAACUUUGUGGAAGUCUGUUCUUUCCUUCCGCCCCAUGACUCCG
Molecule: long non-coding RNA, 424 nt
Organism: Mesocricetus auratus (golden hamster)
Lineage: Eukaryota; Metazoa; Chordata; Mammalia; Rodentia; Cricetidae
Exons: 3
Source: RefSeq, a predicted model, not a curated record